GUGCAGAGCAAUCCACCACAACCACGACGCGAAGGACUCCAAGCUACAAUUUCUGCAUCACUAAAACAAAAACACAACAGUAAUGCAUCCAAGGUGCUCACUCAGGUCCUUCUGUUCUCUUAAAAUUUUAUAUGUGUAAAAUAUCAUGCUGACUGUAGUUAAUAAUCAAGUGCAUUAGUCCUAGGAAAGCUUUGGGCAUUUGGUGAGGAGCGCAAGCAAAAUACGGCAAAAACAUCAUGGCUGUGCAGUUGUGCAGGCUUGGAGCUGAAGUUUGGGAGCUGAAGGCAAAGAGGCAGGGACUAUGUGCAGAAAUAAUAAAUAAUGAUUAGAUCAGUCUAGGCUAUACAUGCUUCCCAUUGUAUGAAUUUUUGUGCUAUAAUAUUUUUCCUUCCCCUUCUUUGAAAUGCGAUAUUUGCACAUCUCUUCUCAACUUUGCAUUACUUAUUCCUGUCAUUUUGUAUAUAUUAACCUGUUAUAUUUUCUAUGCUUCAUUUUUUCAGUUCUGAACCUGGAACACUAUGAAGAAGCAAGGGCUUGCUACAUAUGGAUAUUUGUUUUGCCUAUUGGUUUAUUUAGGAUCUAGAUCACCGAUGACUUUGAGUCAUAUGUAAAUAUAUUUUUAUCAUACCAAAAGUGUCUCGAACAUAUAUUAUAUAUGAAACUAUGGAUCAACUUCUUGUAAUGCAAUUAUUGAUUUUUAAUAUAUAUUAUUUUUUCUUCUU
Long non-coding RNA from Zea mays, 722 nucleotides. RefSeq lists it as uncharacterized. The transcript is spliced from 2 exons. The record is from RefSeq and is a predicted model, not a curated record. NCBI's taxonomy places the organism in Eukaryota, Viridiplantae, Streptophyta, Magnoliopsida, Poales, Poaceae.